UUUCCAAACAAAGUUUACAUAUAUAUAUAUAUAUAUAUAUAUAGCGGAUUGCUCAUUGCCAUUGGUUGUGAAAUCAAGAAUUAAUGUGGAUGGUAAGAUGUAAACUUCUUACAAAAAGUCUAUUUAGGAGAACGAAAACGUGUGAAGGUCUUGUUUUCCUAAGGUUUCGUUUUGGGUCUCUUUUAUUUUGUACCUUGUAAUUCUCUUGGCCCUUUAGCCAACUAAGCACAUUUUGGGAUUGAAUAUAUAUUUAAA
This 255-nucleotide small RNA is filed under the name Arabidopsis thaliana (thale cress). Its description in RNAcentral is "ATSL143070". The record is from RNAcentral. Lineage: Eukaryota; Viridiplantae; Streptophyta; Magnoliopsida; Brassicales; Brassicaceae.